Molecule: ribosomal RNA, 253 nt
Filed under: uncultured bacterium
Lineage: Bacteria
Description: partial 16S ribosomal RNA
Rfam family: Bacterial small subunit ribosomal RNA
Source: RNAcentral
GACGAAGGGGGCUAGCGUUGUUCGGAAUUACUGGGCGUAAAGCGCGUGUAGGCGGUUGCCCAAGUCGGGUGGGAAAGCCUUGAGCUCAACUCAAGAAAUGCACUCGGUACUGGGUGACUAGAGGACCGGAGAGGAUAGUGGAAUUCCCAGUGUAGUGGUGAAAUACGUAGAGAUUGGGAAGAACACCAGUGGCGAAGGCGGCUAUCUGGACGGUUUCUGACGCUAAGACGUGAAAGCGUGGGGAGCAAACAGG